RNAcentral lists this long non-coding RNA (5483 nucleotides) under Arabidopsis lyrata. Its description in RNAcentral is "long non-coding RNA (ALYR_LNC001960)". Lineage: Eukaryota; Viridiplantae; Streptophyta; Magnoliopsida; Brassicales; Brassicaceae. The record is from RNAcentral.
GGGGAUUAUUAGAAAAUAGCCUUUGACUGGAAAAGUAUUAAGAAACUAACCAUGUGUCAGAAAUGUUGGGUAAAUGACUCUUUUUGUGGUGGGGUAGGGGUGGAGAAAAGACCAAUUAACCUUUUGAAAGUAUAGUUAUUACGAGAUGAUAUAUUUGUUUGUAAGUGGUGGUAGAGAUUCAGUGAAGAAAAAAUAGAUCCGGUCAUAGAAGUGGUACGGUGGUCUUGGUCACCAUAAUGAAUAUGGUUAUGGAGGAGGUGAUGGUAAUUUCAGAGGAAGCGGUGGUGGCGGAAGAUUCGGAGAGAAAAAAUAGAUUCGAUGAUGGAAGUGAUACGGGUGAAGGUAACGAUGGUGGUUACGGAGGUGACACGAUCCUCCCGAGGACUCGGCACUCUAAAGUUGAGCAAGGGAUAGAAGUGGCUGUGAAGCCGUGAUGAUGGAUAGAUGAUCUCGAUCUAGAGACGACACACGACUCAAAGACGAGAGAAUGGAUCGAUGGAUAUCACAGAAGCUUGCGGAAGAGCUUCACGAUACCGAAACUUAGAUCCUUUGGAUAUGCGCACCAAAAGAUACUAAGGGUUUUGCUGGAUAUACACACCAACAAGAUGAUCUUCUUAGAAAAGGUUUUUGAUAAAAAAGAAAGAUAGGUUCUCAUAAGAGAUUACAAGAGAAUAUAUAGAGAAGGAGAAGAAGAGAAGAGAAUAUAGAGAGACAAGUCUUGGAACAAGCUCCAAGGCUGUCUAGAAACUUAACAAAAUAUUAAAGAUAGAAUUUGAAUAGAAAAGACCCUUUGGCUUCAAAGAUGACUCUUGAACUCCUAUUUUCGUCACUCCUCUUGACCAGCAAAUUAAGAACUUGGUUUGGACUCUUCUUGGGCUUGUAAUGGCCAUAAAAUGGGCUGGACUCCAUAUAUAUUCCAUGGGGUAGACUUCUGAAUGUUAUUCCAAGGGCUGAAUCAACAAAUGGGUGAUUUGAAUGUGAAUCAUUUGCCUCAUUAAAAACCUUGUCAAGAAAACCCAUUGGGACAAAACUUGACAAGGGAAAAAGAGUACAAAUGAGACACAUGCCCAUUUGAUGAUCAUUUAUUAAAACCAGUGAGGUUAAGAUAACAUCUUUUCCAUACUCUUUCUCCGGUACGAGCUCACUUUCUGGUUCAAAAUACUCCUCAGGUUCAAGCGGCUCCUCUGCUUCAAGCUCCUCCUCGGCUACAAGCUCUUUAUCACGUUCCAUGUCCUUUGUGCUUUCCAUGAUCAUAUCAUCCCCUCCCUCUUGAAAAGGAUUUGACCUCAAAUCCGUUUGAUCUACAAUAUACGGCACCAAGUCAGAAACAUUAAAGCUAGGACUCACAUUACACUUACCUUGCAGCUCAAGUUCAUAAGCAUUGUCGAUUGUUCUUCUUGUUAGGUCGGAUGGAGAAUCGAUCCUUGGCAUUAAAACAACUCCAAUUCCCGUCCUCUCAUAGAGAUUGGACAAGAGAACUUCUAAGUCUGGUGGCUCCUCUUUUGUACCUGAAAUAUUGUCAACAGCUUUUGCAAAGAGCAAGUGUGUUAUCACAGUCAUGGAGUCACUAUAACCAAGUAAACAUGUCUCAGCUUUUAUCAAUGCAUUAUCUUUGAAAUGUUCAUGUUUUAUUUGCGUUCUAAGACAUGAGUUUGGUUCCAAAUAUUCUUUAAAUAAAUCUAACUCUUUCUCGAUGUUUCCUAGAUUUGAUAAACUCAUAAUAACAGUUCUUGUAAUAUGAGAAACCAAGCGAGUGAAAGAGUUAUUUACCUGAAUAAGGUUCGCAGUGUGUUUGGUGCUUGGUAUCAUCACGAUUAAUGAAAGUGGUGUUGGAUCCGGGGGUUCUUCUUGGAUCAAGGCAUUGGUGGUGACCAACUCCUCCUCACUAGAGGUAUCUAAAAACUCUCCUGGUCGCCAUUGAUAGGUAUGGAAUGAAUCCAAUGAAGAAAGAUCCAUUUUAGGCUCCUCGUGAAACAUGUGAAGUAAAAUGACCAAAAUCUCGUGAGGUGUAGGACUUGAACGUCCUAGAUAAUCUCCUGGUCUCCAAAUGUGGCUUUGAGAAUCAUCAUGGAUGGAUGGUAGUCCUAUAGGUUUAUCCUCCGAGAACAUGUCUUCAUAAUCCUUACUAGCCCUCACAAACAAAUUUGAUUGCUUGCCUAUGCGUUCUUUUGUGUACUUUGGCGAAAAUUGAUCUUGACAAUCUUCACGAAGAUCUCUUGAUUGAUUCCAAUGAUGAGUGCUUAUCUCUCGAUCAUUAGUCUUCUUGGUUGGCCUCAAAAUUGUGCAAUCUCGGGUUUUAAUUUGUGGUGUAGCAUCUGGUGGUUUCUCCUUGAUUACACUAUUGUAUUCAGCUUUAGAUAAUUGAUUGUGGACCAGAACUGCUUCAGCUUGAGUUAAUUCUCCAAUUCCACUCAUGGUUCCUUGUUUGGGUUCUUUGUAAAGGGAUUGAGGCUGCUGCAAAUCCGGCGGCUUUUCUUUGAUUGCCAUUAUGUCUAGUGCACCUUCAGCUUUCCUCAAGUCGUCAUGGAUAUGGAGUGGAACCUUGAACGUGCCUUUUCUUGAUGUCACUUCUCCUAUGUAGUUAUUCUUCUCCAUAGCUCGUGUUCCUUUUUCAGCACUCAUGGGUCAGAACAAAUGCAUUAUACUUGAAAUAGAGAAUCCAAAAACACAAUCCUUCAAGGUUGGUUUGCAAAGCUCAUUGAACGAAUUUGAUUCUUGCAACUCAUAAAAAGUUUUAACCAAUGCAUUUUCGGUUUUUAUUCUAAACAGCUCAAAUGCUUUGCUACACAAAGAAAUUCUCAAAGACGAGUUAAAUUCACGAAACUCAUCAAACAGAAAACAUCUUGGCUUAAAGAGCUUUUCAAGUGUGAGUGUAUCAAAAAUUGGAAUCAUUUUGUCAAAAACAGAUUUUGAAACACGAAAUUCUUUCACAUUUUCCAAACCAAAUUGUUUUUCAUCUUGAGCAGAAAUCAAAACAAACACAUUAAGCUUUUUUGUAACCAAAUCAACUUCCUUACAGUGCUUUUGAUAAUGCUCAUUUGACUCAAGGAUUGGUUCAGGAACAAAGAUAGUUUGCUGCUCCAAAUUAGUAACAACCGAUGGCAAACUCCUUUGAACUUCUACCUGAGAUUCUUCUUCCAUAACCUGUGAAAAACAAAAAGUACUACUCGGUUGCACCGGCUUGGAAAGGAUUAGUUUGUCACAAGGUUGAUCAUUUUCAAGCACCUGAGAUUCUUCUUCCAUAACCUGUGAAAAACAAAAAUUACUACUCGGUUGCACUGGCUUGGAAAGGAUUAGUUUGUCACAAGGUUGAUCAUUUUCAAGCACAAAAUCAGGUUUCUCAGAAAGAUCACACGUAUCUUUCACAAAUUUAGAAGGAAGAGCAAACUUAGCUUUUUCUGAAUUAGAAGGAAGAACACACUUAGCUUUCUUAGGUUUGUUGUAAGCGUUGAAAAUCUUCAGAAGCUCAUCCUCGAACUGUUCUUUAGCUAAGGCUAGACUUUCCUUUUGGUUUUGCUUGUGAACUACAACUUCGUCAGUGACCAUCUUUGGUUGAGAUGUUGACUUAGCUUUCUUGGGUUUAUUGUAAGCGUUGAGAAUCUUCAGAAGUUCAUCCUCGAACUGUUCUUUUGCUAAGGCUAGACUUUCCUUUUGGCUUUUCUUCACGGCCUUAAAUUUUUCACAUCAUUAUGUUGCGGGGUAGCUUUCUCAACACGUCUUUGAUCACCACGAUUGUAGUAGUAACUAUUUGCUUGAUCUUGGGUUGAUCUGCUUCUCCAAUUAGGUUUCUCCUGGGGUCUCCUUGGUUUUGCCUCUUUUUGAUAUGUGAUUUGCUCAUGCCUCUCUUGGCUUCUCCUUGGAGAUCUUAAAUUCUGAUGAAACUCUUGGCGAAAAGCUUCCAAUUCGGUGUUCAUCAUUUUCUUCAUAGCUUCAGUCAAAAGUUUGUUGUUCCGAUUGUAGCUACUCUCUUCCUCAUUGGUUUCAGCCAUCCUUUCUGCAAUAGAAACAACAAAACAACACCAGUAACUAGUUCUUUUUGAAACAAACACGAAAUGACUCUUCAAAUACCACAAAAUUCUCCUAGAACCCUAAUCACGACAGUUUGACUUGUUCGGAUGCUAAAAAUUAUCAACUCGUGCAGGAAAAUUCCAGAAACAAUUUUACAAAAUACUAGACUCAAUUUCUAACCCGUGACAGUUGAUUUCGCGAUUUUAGCAAAUACCAAUUAUUUAUGAAAAUUAAAACAAGAUGACAGACGGAAUAAGAAGAUGAACAGACAAGAUAGAAUACUCAACUUUCAGAGUGUGCUCUGAUACCACUUGACACGAUCCUCCCGAGGACUCGGCACUCUAAAGUUGAGCAAGGGAUAGAAGUGGCUCUGAAGCCGUGAUGAUGGAUAGAUGAUCUCGAUCUAGAGACGACACACGACUCAAAGACGAGAGAAUGAAUCGAUGGAUAUCACAGAAGCUUGCGGAAGAGCUUCACGAUACCGAAACUUAGAUCCUUUGGAUAUGCGCACCAAAAGAUACUAAGGGUUUUGCUGGAUAUACACACCAACAAGAUGAUCUUCUUAGAAAAGGUUUUUGAUAAAAAAGAAAGAUAGGUUCUCAUAAGAGAUUACAAGAGAAUAUAUAGAGAAGGAGAAGAAGAGAAGAGAAUGUAAAGAGACAAGUCUUGGAACAAGCUCCAAGGCUGUCUAGAAACUUAACAAAAUAUUAAAGAUAGAAUUUGAAUAGAAAAGACCCUUUGGCUUCAAAGAUGACUCUUGAACUCCUAUUUUCGUCACUCCUCUUGACCAGCAAAUUAAGAACUUGGUUUGGACUCUUCUUGGGCUUGUAAUGACCAUAAAAUGGGCUGGACUCCAUAUAUAUUCCAUGGGGUAGACUUCUGAAUGUUAUUCCAAGGGCUGGAUCAACAAAUGGGUGAUUUGAAUGUGAAUCAUUUGCCUCAUUAAAAACCUUGUCAAGAAAACCCAUUGGGACAAAACUUGACAAGGGAAAAAGAGUACAAAUGAGACACAUGCCCAUUUGAUGAUCAUUUAUCAAAACCAGUGAGGUUAAGAUAACAUCUUUUCCAUACUCUUUCUCCGGUACGAGCUCACUUUCUGGUUCAAAAUACUCCUCAGGUUCAAGCGGCUCCUCUGCUUCAAGCUCCUCCUCGGCUACAAGCUCUUUAUCACGUUCCAUGUCCUUUGUGCUUUCCAUGAUCAUAUCAGGAGGUGGCCGUAGUAAAUGCGAAUGAAGAAUUGAAAGUUACAAAUCUGGUAAAGGCGGUGGUGGUUGGGGUUGAUACGAUGGUGGUGGUUACAUAGGAGGUGAUGAUGAAGAAGAUAAGACCUCUAGUGGUAGAUCAAGGAAAAAAAAACAUGAAAAUUUUAAAAAUAGUACGGUUUAAGUAAACAUAACACGUAUCUAAAAUAAAAAUAUAUGCAUUAUGUUUAAUAACAUGAAAAUUACAUGUACUGAAGUAAAAAUACAUGUGAC